CGGACGAUGGCUUCUGUCACUGCAAAGGGG
RNAcentral lists this non-coding RNA (30 nucleotides) under Cricetulus griseus (Chinese hamster). The record is from RNAcentral. Lineage: Eukaryota; Metazoa; Chordata; Mammalia; Rodentia; Cricetidae.